RNAcentral lists this ribosomal RNA (452 nucleotides) under uncultured bacterium. RNAcentral's name for it is "bacterial SSU rRNA". It matches the Rfam family "Bacterial small subunit ribosomal RNA", at positions 29 to 526 of the family's 1533-position model. The record is from RNAcentral.
AGCGAACGCUGGCGGCAGGCUUAACACAUGCAAGUCGAGCGGGCACUUCGGUGUCAGCGGCGGACGGGUGAGUAACGCGUGGGAACGUGCCUUCUGGUUCGGAAUAACUCAGGGAAACUUGAGCUAAUACCGGAUACGCCCUUUUGGGGAAAGGUUUACUGCCGGAAGAUCGGCCCGCGUCUGAUUAGCUAGUUGGUGGGGUAAUGGCCUACCAAGGCGACGAUCAGUAGCUGGUUUGAGAGGAUGAUCAGCCACACUGGAACUUAGACACGGUCCAGACUCCUACGGGAGGCAGCAGUGAGGAAUAUUGGACAAUAGGCGAAAGCCUGAUCCAGCGACGUCACGUGAAUGAUGAAGGCCUUAGGGUUGUAAAAUUCUUUUAGUGGAGAAGAUAAUGACGGUAUCCACAGAAAAAGUCCCGGCUAACUUCGUGCCAGCCGCCGCCGUAACAC